GACCUGAAGUGGAACGAGAUUACCCGCUGAAUUUAAGCAUAUUAUUAAGCGGAGGAAAAGAAACUAACAAGGAUUCCCUCAGUAACGGCGAGUGAAGCGGGAAUAGCUCAAAGUUUAAAUCGGGUUCCAUCACGGACCUCGAGUUGUAAUCUAAAGACGUGUGGUCAGCGUGCGACCCGGGUAUAACUCUUUUGGAACAAGGGAUCAUAGAGGGUGAGAAUCCCGUCUGUGACUCGGANUUCGCCGCGUACGAUACACGUUCAAGAGUCNAGUUGCUUGGGACUGCAGCUCUNAAUG
This 297-nucleotide ribosomal RNA is filed under the name uncultured fungus. RNAcentral's name for it is "partial 28S large subunit ribosomal RNA". It matches the Rfam family "Eukaryotic large subunit ribosomal RNA", at positions 1 to 294 of the family's 3401-position model. Lineage: Eukaryota; Fungi. The record is from RNAcentral.